This 534-nucleotide ribosomal RNA is filed under the name uncultured Shigella sp. Its description in RNAcentral is "bacterial SSU rRNA". It matches the Rfam family "Bacterial small subunit ribosomal RNA", at positions 991 to 1533 of the family's 1533-position model. Lineage: Bacteria; Pseudomonadati; Pseudomonadota; Gammaproteobacteria; Enterobacterales; Enterobacteriaceae. The record is from RNAcentral.
CGGAAGUUUUCAGAGAUGAGAAUGUGCCUUUCGGGAACCGUGAGACAGGUGCUGCAUGGCUGUCGUCAGCUCGUGUUGUGAAAUGUUGGGUUAAGUCCCGCAACGAGCGCAACCCUUAUCCUUUGUUGCCAGCGGUCCGGCCGGGAACUCAAAGGAGACUGCCAGUGAUAAACUGGAGGAAGGUGGGGAUGACGUCAAGUCAUCAUGGCCCUUACGACCAGGGCUACACACGUGCUACAAUGGCGCAUACAAAGAGAAGCGACCUCGCGAGAGCAAGCGGACCUCAUAAAGUGCGUCGUAGUCCGGAUUGGAGUCUGCAACUCGACUCCAUGAAGUCGGAAUCGCUAGUAAUCGUGGAUCAGAAUGCCACGGUGAAUACGUUCCCGGGCCUUGUACACACCGCCCGUCACACCAUGGGAGUGGGUUGCAAAAGAAGUAGGUAGCUUAACCUUCGGGAGGGCGCUUACCACUUUGUGAUUCAUGACUGGGGUGAAGUCGUAACAAGGUAACCGUAAAUCGAAUCCCGCGGCCGCC